UACGAAGGGGGCUAGCGUUGCUCGGAAUCACUGGGCGUAAAGGGUGCGUAGGCGGGUCUUUAAGUCAGGGGUGAAAUCCUGGAGCUCAACUCCAGAACUGCCUUUGAUACUGAGGAUCUUGAGUUCGGGAGAGGUGAGCGGAACUGCGAGUGUAGAGGUGAAAUUCGUAGAUAUUCGCAAGAACACCAGUGGCGAAGGCGGCUCACUGGCCCGGUACUGACGCUGAGGUGCGAAAGCGUGGGGAGCAAACAGG
RNAcentral lists this ribosomal RNA (253 nucleotides) under uncultured bacterium. RNAcentral describes it as "partial 16S ribosomal RNA". It matches the Rfam family "Bacterial small subunit ribosomal RNA", at positions 524 to 776 of the family's 1533-position model. The record is from RNAcentral.